RNAcentral lists this transfer RNA (77 nucleotides) under Thiotrichaceae bacterium. Its description in RNAcentral is "tRNA-His". It matches the Rfam family "tRNA". Rfam says of the family: Transfer RNA (tRNA) molecules are approximately 80 nucleotides in length. The record is from RNAcentral. Lineage: Bacteria; Pseudomonadati; Pseudomonadota; Gammaproteobacteria; Thiotrichales; Thiotrichaceae.
GUGAGCGUAGCUCAGUUUGGUAGAGCGCUGGAUUGUGAUUCCAGUGGUCGUGGGUUCGAGUCCCAUCGUUCACCCCA